Molecule: ribosomal RNA, 439 nt
Filed under: uncultured bacterium
Lineage: Bacteria
Description: bacterial SSU rRNA
Rfam family: Bacterial small subunit ribosomal RNA
Source: RNAcentral
GCAAAACGCGAAGAACCUUACCCGGGCUUGAAAGUUACUGAAUGAUUUAGAGAUAGAUCAGUCCUUCGGACAGGAAACUAGGUGCUGCAUGGCUGUCGUCAGCUCGUGCCGUGAGGUGUUGGGUUAAGUCCCGCAACGAGCGCAACCCUACUGUUUAGUUGCCAGCAUUUUAGGUUGGGGACGUCUAAACAGACUGCCAGCGUAAGCUGUGAGGAAGGUGGGGACGGACGUCAAGUCAUCAUGGCCCUUACGUCCGGGGCUACACACGUGCUACAAUGGAUGGUACAGCGGGCAGCUACACAGUAAUGUGAUGCUAAUCUCGAAAAGCCAUUCACAGUUCGGAUUGAGGUCUGCAACUCGACCUCAUGAAGUUGGAUUCGCUAGUAAUCGCGUAUCAGCAAUGACGCGGUGAAUACGUUCCCGGGUCUUGUACACACCG